RNAcentral lists this ribosomal RNA (238 nucleotides) under uncultured bacterium. RNAcentral's name for it is "partial 16S ribosomal RNA". It matches the Rfam family "Bacterial small subunit ribosomal RNA", at positions 1255 to 1500 of the family's 1533-position model. The record is from RNAcentral.
UGGCGACAGGGAGCGGAACCCGAAAGCCUGUCUCAGUUCGGAUUGGAGUCUGCAACCCGACUCCAUGAAGCUGGAUUCGCUAGUAAUCGCGCAUCAGCCACGGCGCGGUGAAUACGUUCCCGGGCCUUGUACACACCGCCCGUCAAGCCAUGGAAGCCGGGGGGUGCCUGAAGUGCGCUGCCGCAAGGAGCGCCCUAGGGUAAAACCGGUGACUGGGGCUAAGUCGUAACAAGGUAGC